CAUGCUCUCCUGCUCAACUACCACUAGCAUGGGUUCUCCACCAAGGAAAUGAUGUCGUACCUAUCCCGGGGACAACAAAUAUUAAGAACCUGGAUUCAAACAUUGACUCCUUGAAGGUGAGCCUGAAGCUCUUUCAUUCUAAUUAUAUUAUAUGAUUUGACGAAUCAAUCAUGCUCUCAGUACGGGCAUCCUCGUUUCCAAGCAGACAACCUUGAGAAGAGCAAGAUUACAUAUAGUAGAAUACAAAAGUUGGCUGAAAAGCAUAGAUGCAGCACUGCGCAACUUUCCCUUGCCUGGAUUCGUGGUCAAGGCGAUGAUGUGGUACCUAUCCCCGGGACAACUAAGA
This is a long non-coding RNA of Malus domestica (apple), 346 nucleotides long. RefSeq lists it as uncharacterized. Lineage: Eukaryota; Viridiplantae; Streptophyta; Magnoliopsida; Rosales; Rosaceae. The record is from RefSeq and is a predicted model, not a curated record.